RNAcentral lists this non-coding RNA (164 nucleotides) under uncultured Roseburia sp. The record is from RNAcentral. Lineage: Bacteria; Bacillati; Bacillota; Clostridia; Lachnospirales; Lachnospiraceae.
UUGGGAGAACAUUAGAAAAUCUUAGUAUGCCUGUCACAACUCAGUGAUGUUCUGCCAAGGAUGGCAGAACAAGGCUUCACGAGCCACGGAUGGCUCGUUGAACGCCGUUCACGUCAUUUUUAGAUACUUUUAUAAGGCAUACUUAGACUUUUCUUAUGUUCGGA